Non-coding RNA from Acanthosepion pharaonis, 113 nucleotides. Lineage: Eukaryota; Metazoa; Mollusca; Cephalopoda; Sepiida; Sepiidae. The record is from the annotation of a GenBank genome assembly.
UACGACCACAACACAUUGAAACACUGGUUCUCGUACAAUCACUGAAGUUAAGCAAUGUCAAGUACAGUCAGUACCUAGAUGGGUGACCGCACGGGAAUACCAGGUACUGUAAG